AAUUUUGGACAUUGUGGGAAACCCUGAUCUAGCCAUGCCUCGAGUAUGAUGAAGGCCUUCGGUUUGUAAAGUACUUUUGGCAGAGAAGAAUAGGUAUCCCCUAAUCCGGGCACCUGCUGACGGUCUCUGCAGAAUAAGCACUGGCUAACUACGUGCCAGCAGCCGCGGUAAUACGUAGGUUGCAAGCUUUAAUCGGAAUUACUUGGCGUAAAGCGUGUGUAGGCGGUUCGGAAAGAAAGAUGUGAAAUCCCAGGGCUCAACCUUGGAACUGCAUUUUUAACUGCCGAGCUAGAGUAUGUCAGAGGGGGGUAGAAUUCCACGUGUAGCAGUGAAAUGCGUAGAUAUGUGGAGGAAUACCGAUGGCGAAGGCAGCCCCCUGGGAUAAUACUGACGCUCAGACACGAAAGCGUGGGGAGCAAACA
This 422-nucleotide ribosomal RNA is filed under the name uncultured bacterium. RNAcentral describes it as "partial 16S ribosomal RNA". It matches the Rfam family "Bacterial small subunit ribosomal RNA", at positions 360 to 774 of the family's 1533-position model. The record is from RNAcentral.